Molecule: long non-coding RNA, 216 nt
Filed under: Musa acuminata (dwarf banana)
Lineage: Eukaryota; Viridiplantae; Streptophyta; Magnoliopsida; Zingiberales; Musaceae
Description: long non-coding RNA (MACU_LNC001464)
Source: RNAcentral
AACCGAGUAACGUUCAUGGAAAUCGCGCAAAGGUUGGUCCUGCUGGGAUUGGAUCCUUCUCUCCCUCCUCAACCCACCCUUUUCUCUCCUCCUCCUCCUCUCUCUGCAUUGAUCUUUGUGCAUGGAAAAAGUUCAAGAAUUAUUCUUUCCGAGAAGGCACGGGCGUCCGCUGAUUUCUCCCAGGCCAACCCCUUUGAAUAAUGAAGACUCCUCCCA